AAAGUCGUAACAAGGUUUCCGUAGGUGAACCUGCGGAAGGAUCAUUACACUCAGUAGUUUACUACUGUUAAGGAGGCUAUUAGUCUGUAUAGCUUAAUCGCUGAUGAGCAGCUUGCCUCUUUUCUCCACCCUUGUCUUUUGCGUACCCAUGUUUCCUCGGCAGGCUUGCCUGUCGAUUGGACAAUUCUAUAACCUUUUUAAUUUUUAAUCAGCGUCUGAAAAACUUAAUAAUUACAACUUUCAACAACGGAUCUCUUGGUUCUG
This 264-nucleotide unclassified non-coding RNA is filed under the name Ascomycota sp. RNAcentral's name for it is "partial contains small subunit ribosomal RNA, internal transcribed spacer 1, and 5.8S ribosomal RNA". The stretch from base 1 to 47 matches the Rfam family "Eukaryotic small subunit ribosomal RNA", at positions 1785 to 1831 of the family's 1831-position model. Lineage: Eukaryota; Fungi; Ascomycota. The record is from RNAcentral.